This is a non-coding RNA of Spinacia oleracea (spinach), 71 nucleotides long. NCBI's taxonomy places the organism in Eukaryota, Viridiplantae, Streptophyta, Magnoliopsida, Caryophyllales, Amaranthaceae. The record is from Rfam.
AACCUAUUAGCUCAAAUGGUAGAGCAAUGUGUCAUUGCACAAGGAUGUAGGUUCAAAUCCUACAUAGGUUG